RNAcentral lists this ribosomal RNA (482 nucleotides) under uncultured bacterium. RNAcentral's name for it is "partial 16S ribosomal RNA". It matches the Rfam family "Bacterial small subunit ribosomal RNA", at positions 30 to 507 of the family's 1533-position model. The record is from RNAcentral.
UUGAACGCUGGCGGCAGGCCUAACACAUGCAAGUCGAGCGGAUGAAGGGAGCUUGCUCCUGGAUUCAGCGGCGGACGGGUGAGUAAUGCCUAGGAAUCUGCCUGGUAGUGGGGGAUAACGUCCGGAAACGGGCGCUAAUACCGCAUACGUCCUGAGGGAGAAAGUGGGGGAUCUUCGGACCUCACGCUAUCAGAUGAGCCUAGGUCGGAUUAGCUAGUUGGUGGGGUAAAGGCCUACCAAGGCGACGAUCCGUAACUGGUCUGAGAGGAUGAUCAGUCACACUGGAACUGAACCACGUUCAAGACUCCUACGGAAGGAGGCGUUGGGAAUUAUUGAACAUUGGGCGAAGGCCUGUUCCAGCCAUGCCGGUUGUGUGAAGAAGGUCUUCGGUUUGUAAAGCACUUUAGGUUGGAAGAAAGGCAAGUAGGUUAAUACCUGCCUGUUUGACCGUACCAACAGAAUAAGCACCGGCUAACUUCGUG